UACGGAGGGGGCAAGCGUUAAUCGGAAUUACUGGGCGUAAAGCGUGCGCAGGCGGUUAUGUAAGACAGUUGUGAAAUCCCCGGGCUCAACCUGGGAACUGCAUCUGUGACUGCAUAGCUAGAGUACGGUAGAGGGGGAUGGAAUUCCGCGUGUAGCAGUGAAAUGCGUAGAUAUGCGGAGGAACACCGAUGGCGAAGGCAAUCCCCUGGACCUGUACUGACGCUCAUGCACGAAAGCGUGGGGAGCAAACAGG
This 253-nucleotide ribosomal RNA is filed under the name uncultured bacterium. RNAcentral's name for it is "partial 16S ribosomal RNA". It matches the Rfam family "Bacterial small subunit ribosomal RNA", at positions 524 to 776 of the family's 1533-position model. The record is from RNAcentral.